CAAGUACCGUGAGGGAAAGUUGAAAAGAACUUUGAGGAGGGAGUUCAUAAGAAUGUGAAGCCGCUAGGAGCUUAAACGGGUGGAACUGCGAAGGAAGAACGAGGGCAUUCACCUCGUCGGGGGGACGGGAACGGGGUGCCCGAGCAGAGAGAGUCGCCAAGAGCAAACCCAAGCGAGCGCCGGGGCACCCCUAGCGGUCCGACAGACAGGUCCUCUUCCCCGGCGGGCGUAUUUGUCUCCUCCAGUAGUAGCACGCAGCGAGCCGUUCCUGCCAAAUUCGCCAGGAGGGCCGGGCUGGACUGGUACCCUCGGUCAGGAGGGAAACCGGCCUGUGCUGCUCGUGGACUGGAGGCCUCGGAGACGGAGGCUUCCAGGGGGUACAUACCAAAACACGCGUGUGGCCCCUCGC
Molecule: ribosomal RNA, 409 nt
Filed under: Typhlatya galapagensis
Lineage: Eukaryota; Metazoa; Arthropoda; Malacostraca; Decapoda; Atyidae
Description: partial 28S ribosomal RNA
Source: RNAcentral